This 599-nucleotide long non-coding RNA is filed under the name Felis catus (domestic cat). RNAcentral describes it as "lncRNA (ENSFCAG00000051827.1)". Lineage: Eukaryota; Metazoa; Chordata; Mammalia; Carnivora; Felidae. The record is from RNAcentral.
CUUGUGAUAUUUUGCGAGAUGCAGGUCUGGGUCGACCCCAGACUUGAGCACUUAUCAGCUGUGUCAUCUUGAACACCAGUUAUAACCUCAGAUUUCCUAUCUAUCAUAAGGAAAACACUCCUCUCUCGCCGUGUUGUAAAGACUGAAGUAUAUGUGAUUACAUGAGAUACCGCCUGUGAACAUGCCUAUCACUUGGCCAACACCUGUUCCAUUGCAAUUAUUCAAUUUUGAUUCGAGCAUUUGACCUGCACAUCUCGAGGGAGUCAUAAGCGCAGACAAUCACCAAACAGUUGGCAUGUGGCUGUGACCAUUCACAGGACUUUAUCAACCAGCUCACAAGCAAGACUUUCUGUUGAUGAGCUGAUGUCUGCCCCAUCAGGCUCUUCCUCUCCAUGCCAGGGAAUGUCUCCCUCCUGAGUCCCAAACAGUGAGUAUUUCCACUUAAAUGGUUUCACAGCCUGCCUCAAAGGCCAAAAAAGAACAUAUUCCUUGUACACUUAUUCAUUCAUUUACCACACAAUAAUAGUUUUUAUGAUGGUUGAGCAAAUGUGACGUGAAAUAUCUCAGUUCGACUGUGUUCCCUCAUGUUUGUGCAUUUA